RNAcentral lists this ribosomal RNA (878 nucleotides) under Youngiibacter sp. RNAcentral describes it as "bacterial SSU rRNA". It matches the Rfam family "Bacterial small subunit ribosomal RNA", at positions 61 to 967 of the family's 1533-position model. The record is from RNAcentral. Lineage: Bacteria; Bacillati; Bacillota; Clostridia; Eubacteriales; Clostridiaceae.
GUCGAGCGAGGUGUAUAUACCUAGCGGCGGACGGGUGAGUAACACGUGGGUGACCUGCCUCAAAGUGGGGAAUAGCCUCUCGAAAGGGAGAUUAAUACCGCAUGAUAUACGCAUAUUUAACGACGCGUAUCAAAGGAGAAAUCCGCUUUGAGAUGGGCCCGCGGCGCAUUAGCUAGUUGGAGAGGUAACGGCUCACCAAGGCGACGAUGCGUAGCCGACCUGAGAGGGUGAUCGGCCACAUUGGAACUGAGACACGGUCCAGACUCCUACGGGAGGCAGCAGUGGGGAAUAUUGCACAAUGGGGGAAACCCUGAUGCAGCAACGCCGCGUGAACGAAGAAGGCCUUCGGGUCGUAAAGUUCUUUGAUUGGGGACGAUAAUGACGGUACCCAAAAAACAAGCCACGGCUAACUACGUGCCAGCAGCCGCGGUAAUACGUAGGUGGCGAGCGUUGUCCGGAUUUACUGGGCGUAAAGGAUGCGUAGGUGGAAAUUUAAGUGGGAUGUGAAAUCCCCGGGCUCAACCCGGGAACUGCAUUCCAAACUGGAUUUCUAGAGUGCAGGAGAGGAAAGCGGAAUUCCUAGUGUAGCGGUGAAAUGCGUAGAUAUUAGGAAGAACACCAGUGGCGAAGGCGGCUUUCUGGACUGUAACUGACACUGAGGCAUGAAAGCGUGGGGAGCAAACAGGAUUAGAUACCCUGGUAGUCCACGCCGUAAACGAUGGGUACUAGGUGUAGGGGGUAUCAACUCCCCCUGUGCCGUCGUUAACACAGUAAGUACCCCGCCUGGGGAGUACGGUCGCAAGAUUAAAACUCAAAGGAAUUGACGGGGGCCCGCACAAGCAGCGGAGCAUGUGGUUUAAUUCGAGGCAACGCGAAGA